This 482-nucleotide ribosomal RNA is filed under the name uncultured bacterium. RNAcentral's name for it is "partial 16S ribosomal RNA". It matches the Rfam family "Bacterial small subunit ribosomal RNA", at positions 30 to 507 of the family's 1533-position model. The record is from RNAcentral.
AUUGAACGCUGGCGGCAUGCCUUACACAUGCAAGUCGAACGGUAACGGGCCUUCGGGUGCCGACGAGUGGCGAACGGGUGAGUAAUACAUCGGAACGUGCCCGCUCGUGGGGGAUAACGAGGCGAAAGCUUUGCUAAUACCGCAUACGAUCUACGGAUGAAAGCAGGGGACCGCAAGGCCUUGCGCGGACGGAGCGGCCGAUGGCGGAUUAGGUAGUUGGUGGGAUAAAAGCUUACCAAGCCGACGAUCUGUAGCUGGUCUGAGAGGAUGAUCAGCCACACUGGGACUGAGACACGGCCCAGACUCCUACGGGAGGCAGCAGUGGGGAAUUUUGGACAAUGGGCGCAAGCCUGAUCCAGCCAUGCCGCGUGCAGGAUGAAGGCCUUCGGGUUGUAAACUGCUUUUGUACGGAACGAAAAGCCUUCUUUUAAUACAGGAGGGUCAUGACGGUACCGUAAGAAUAAGCACCGGCUAACUACGUG